Non-coding RNA from Vicia faba (fava bean), 360 nucleotides. Lineage: Eukaryota; Viridiplantae; Streptophyta; Magnoliopsida; Fabales; Fabaceae. The record is from the annotation of a GenBank genome assembly.
AUGGAUUUAUCUCGGACUUCACCAACAUGUUGGCAAGAACGAAGUACUUCAAGCAGUAGAUACGCCUCUGAUUCCCAGUUUCAAAGAAUUUGUAGCUGCCUCGACCCACUGGCGCUCAGCCAUAUGCAAUUUACCCCCACAUUCAUGGAUGAUCCCCAUUAUCCUUGGAUGGAGAAUUGCAAACUUAAUAGUAAUUACUUUCUGGUAAAGUUGCUUAAAAUUUUCUUUGAACUGAUUUUUACAGGUCCUGUAAUGAAGCUUGCAUGGUAUGGUAAGUUUUAUGCAGGUUUGUUGCCUUUGGUUUGUGAUGCCCACUUGAUUGUUUUUGGUUUUGUUAUAGCAGGGUUGCUCUAUGCAUAG